CAAUAGCGUAUAUUAAGGUUGUUGGGGUUAAAAAGCUCGUAGUUGGAUUUCUGCCGAGGACGACCGGUCCGCCCUCUGGGUGAGUAUCUGGCUCGGCCUGGGCAUAUUCUUGGAGAGCGUAGCUGCAUCACGGAAUAGUAAGAUAGGACAUCGGUUCAAUUUUGUUGGCUUCUAGAGCUGAGGUAAUGAUUAAUGGGGAUAGUCGGGGGCAUUCGUAUGUAAUUGUCAGAGGUGAAGUUCUUGGAUUUGUUAAAGACGGACUACUGCGAAAGCGUUUGCCAAGGAUGUUUNCAUUGA
This 297-nucleotide ribosomal RNA is filed under the name uncultured eukaryote. Its description in RNAcentral is "partial 18S ribosomal RNA". It matches the Rfam family "Eukaryotic small subunit ribosomal RNA", at positions 592 to 976 of the family's 1831-position model. The record is from RNAcentral.